This 274-nucleotide ribosomal RNA is filed under the name uncultured bacterium. RNAcentral describes it as "partial 16S ribosomal RNA". It matches the Rfam family "Bacterial small subunit ribosomal RNA", at positions 523 to 796 of the family's 1533-position model. The record is from RNAcentral.
AUACAGAGGGUGCGAGCGUUAAUCGGAAUUACUGGGCGUAAAGCGCGCGUAGGCGGCUACUUAAGUCAGAUGUGAAAUCCCCGGGCUCAACCUGGGAACUGCAUCUGAUACUGGGUAGCUAGAGUUUAGGAGAGGGAAGUAGAAUUUCAGGUGUAGCGGUGAAAUGUAUAGAGAUCUGAAGGAAUACCAGUGGCGAAGGCGGCUUCCUGGCCUAAAACUGACGCUGAGGUGCGAAAGCGUGGGUAGCAAACGGGAUUAGAAACCCCAGUAGUCC